Molecule: long non-coding RNA, 1008 nt
Organism: Lactuca sativa (garden lettuce)
Lineage: Eukaryota; Viridiplantae; Streptophyta; Magnoliopsida; Asterales; Asteraceae
Source: RefSeq, a predicted model, not a curated record
CGAUCCUAGCUUUAUACAUCCAAUGGAUGAAAAUGGGUUCAUCAAACACAAAAUCAAUCCAAUGGAUAAAAUUACCCAUGUUGUAUUUAGACCCUUCGUUUUUCCCACAACCCUAAACAGCCGAACCUAAAUUAAUUUUGAAACCACACUCUCUCUCAAAAUAUGAUCCUCCUUCUUCUCUAUAACUCAAACAAACGACUGGAUCUCUCACCAAGGAGCUACCCUGACAAUGGCACCACCUCCGUCUCCAGCAUCAACCACCAUCGCUAGCACUAACGUCAGCCACCGCCGUCGUGACCACAAUUCUCUAUAACCCAAACAAACGACUGGAUCACUGCCACUUUCGUUCACCUUCGAUCUUCACUAUCAUAGCCAUGAUUCUCUAAUAGUCCAGGAUAUCGCCCCUUUUAUCUACCCUUAAAAAUCGAAGAUACCAUGUUUUUCAACAAGAUAAAUAAAAAGAUUUAUUGAAAGUUGUACGAAAGGUUUUAAGUUAAAGUUUGUACAUCAAGAAGAAAUGUGACAGAAGGUAUGCAUUUACUCUUUUCUAACAAAGAACCAUCUAGCUGAAAUUGUGCAACAAAGAAACACGAUUCCUUCUGUUUACAUUAGUUGCUUGCUGUCAAGGAACAUGCCAAACUAAAGAUCGGGAAAAGUUUAACGAGAAUAAGGUCCUGAAAUGGGAGGACAUUGGAUCAACCGACCCAAAUUUCUCCUGCAAGAUAAAAGUUUAGAAAAGAGAGUUGUCCUUUUAUCCGAUCAUGGUUGCUCAUACAUCCAUCUCCAUUCAUUGAAAUAUUUAAAGUUGGAUUAAUAAGCACGACAAAUCUAAAUGAAUUUCAUAAUGCAUCCGUGUAAGCUCUAAUUCCAUGUCUCCUUCUUUAGCCCCGCCAUUUAGGAAUCAUAUGGGUUUAAGGAGCAAACUGGAGCUUCAUGUUGGAAUUAAGUAUAAGUUUGUUUUAUAUUGGUAUCAUUUUUGGUAUUAUAUUACAUAUUUUCAGGUUAAAA